AAACUUCUUUAUUUAUUUACAGACUAGAGUCAAGGAGCUUCACCCGUUACACACUUGAAUCCUUUUUCUAGGCACCAUAAAGGAUCCCAACAAUUAUACAUUACAAGUCAUUACCUUUAUUUAUAGACCAGACACAAGGCGCUCUGCCCAUACAACAUACUUGGAACAUUUUUAAAGGCACACUAAAAGACCAUCCACAACAAAACAUUGAUUCGAUCAUUACACUGGAGGUCGCCUUUUCAUCGGAAAUUGAGAUUUACCUUACCAAGAGGUAAUAUCAACGUUACACAAAACAUGACAUAUAACCAUGUCUAACCUUAUAUCUAGAUUAGAUUACACAGUACACACCAGCUUAAUUAUCUUACAGUAGUAUUCAAUUGGAAUACAAACGCCAAUACACUUUACCAUCGAAAGUAUGAUCAGAAUCCAGAACAUUUCCAUGAGGUACCUCUAUAAGAUUAAUCUGCAAAACAAGAGAACCUCCUUCCUGCACAUGACGAUCUUUAUACAGUUCAUCUAAUUGAACCAUAGUUCUAAGGCCAUGAAUAGGACGAUUUUUAUCAAUAGGCCUAUAACCAUUAGUAUAACCAGAUGCAACAACAUCAAAAGAUGCUUCAGCAUCCAUAUUAUUGGCGGCUGCAGGAGGCAGAUCUCCUCUCCAAGCAUCCUCGUUAGCUCUGGGAACAAAUAAGACGGCCCAAGAAACAAUAGGAGCCCAACUUCGACCAAACAAACCAAAAUCCAUCCUAUUCAAGUUCUUCAAAACACCAGGAUCUGCAUAACGCAGAAAAAAGUAGUCUGAUUUAAAACCUAUCAAUUUUUGCUGAUCACACGCCAUAUCUUCCUUGAUUAAUGAAAAAUAAGCGCUCAGAAUCAGAGCACUUGCCUCAGAAAUUAUUUUCGUUGCUCUGUCACUCUUUUUUCUGCUGCCGUCCAAAGACAUUUUCACGUCUAUUUAUGCAAGGGAGGAAUUCGAACACAAACAAAUCACAAAUAAUUAUUAAUUAAUUAUAAUAGGACUCUUAAUUAAUGCAUUCCAGCAUCUCCUUCUGCAACGUGUCUGGCGACGUGGUUUUGUCUUCGUCUGUGCUCCGCCUUUCAUUUCUUGGAUAUCUUCAUCAUAGGUAUUAGAGCCAAGUUAAGGUUAGGUAGAUGAUACAAGUCCUCUUCAAAAGGAUUUUGCUAUCUAGGUAUUAGAGCCUAGUAAUAUAAGGUAUAAUCUCACAUAAAAUUGUGGGUCUAAGUGGAACCUAAAAUUAAAUUUUUAUGAGACUGUAUCUUACAUUACACGCUUACUUUAAUAAUUGACACGUGUUAAUUAAUGCAUUCCAGCAUCUCCUACUGCAACGUGUCUGGCGACGUGGUUUUGUCUUCGUCUGUGCUCCGCCUUUCAUUUCUUGGAUGAGUUCUGCUAUUUGCCCCGGGUCAAAUCCCGGGUCAAACCCCGAAAGUAAUAAAACGAUGCCGUUUCAAUUUCAUUUUUUUUUUGUUUCAUCCCAGCUAAAACGGCGUCGUUUUAACUGGGUUAAGGCUGCGAAAGCAUCAGAUUUGUCACCAAGAAAUCAUUUGCAACAUUAAUUAACAAGGGUAAACAAAAACGAACUCCAGUUUAAAACAACAGAGACAUACAUUGUUCUUUUUUCAAAAUGAAGCAAUAAGAGUGCAGGCACCAGAAAAAAAGAAAAAAGAAAAAAAAGAGAAAUCCAAUUUCGUAAGAUUACAACAUACAAGCUCUUAGUUGCCUGCAUUUUCGUUCUUUCAUCUUCUACCAAUUAAUAACUACACAAUUGCCUUUGCUACUUUCAAAAUAAAAAUUAUAGCAAUAUUAAAUAAAAAAAAAACGAAGAAACAAGAGGGUAAAAAUAUACAAGCUGGAGCAAACAAAAAAUUUCUUGGGUGGCCGUGUUGUCUAAUGCGUCAUCAUAGGAAAGAAAAUGGCUGAGGAGGAGGUCGACGUGAGAGUAGAGGAGGGUUUGUGAAGAAGAUGAAGAAAGAGGUUUGUGAAUGAGAGAGAUGAGGGUUUUUUGCAGAGGGGUAAAACGAAGAGGAAGACAAAGCAGUUGGGUUUUCCUUGGUUUUAUCUUUUCUAAGCCAAACGGUGUCGUUUUAUAGAGAAUCAAAACAUAAAAAAGGCAUCGACAAAACGACGUCGUUUAGGGCAAUUUCGGGGUCUGACCCGGGGUUUGACUCGGGGCAAGUAGCAUUUUCCUUCUUGGAUAUCUUCAUCAUAGGUAUUAGAGCCAAGUUAACGUUAGGUAGAUGAUACAAGUCCUCUUCAAAAUAGCUCUGUGUCGCAAGUGGUUCCGGUACGUAGAUCCACGUCUUCUUUUGCAGCGUGGUUUGGCCUUUUCAGUUCUUCUCAUUCUUUGAUUUCUUCGAAUAGUUAUCUGCAUCGUGUUUACAGGUUAGGUAAGACUAAGGAUUGGGUUCGCACAGUUCUAAUAUUUUGAUUGGACCAUCCUGCAUCUAUCUCUUAUUUAGUUUAGCAUGACUUAUUUAACAUCAUAAAUAUUUAUUUAAUUUUAUAAUUUUU
RNAcentral lists this long non-coding RNA (2533 nucleotides) under Citrus x clementina. RNAcentral describes it as "Citrus clementina (C. clementina) long non-coding RNA (CCLE_LNC001963)". Lineage: Eukaryota; Viridiplantae; Streptophyta; Magnoliopsida; Sapindales; Rutaceae. The record is from RNAcentral.